Molecule: unclassified non-coding RNA, 430 nt
Filed under: soil metagenome
Description: partial contains 5.8S ribosomal RNA, internal transcribed spacer 2, and large subunit ribosomal RNA
Rfam family: 5.8S ribosomal RNA (bases 1-120)
Source: RNAcentral
GAUGAAGAACGUAGCGAAAUGCGAUACGUAAUGUGAAUUGCAGAAUUCAGUGAAUCAUCGAAUCUUUGAACGCAUAUUGCGCUCUCUGGUAUUCCGGAGAGCAUGCUUGUUUGAGUAUCAGUAAACACCUCAACUCCCUUUUCUUUUUUGAAAUUGGAGCUGGACUUGAGUGAUCCCAACGCUUUCUUCCAAGAAAGUGGCGGGUUGCUUGAAAUGCAUGUGCAGCUGAACUUUUCUCUGAGCUAUAAGCAUAUCUAUUUAGUCUGCCUAAAAAACAGAUUAUUACCUUUGCUGCAGCUAACAUAAAGGAGACUAGUUCUUGUGCUGACUGAUGCAGGAUUCACAGAGACAGCUUCGGCUGACUUUGUAAACUCGAUCUCAAAUCAAGUAAGACUACCCGCUGAACUUAAGCAUAUCAAUAAGCGGAGGA